CAUUUAUCUGAGGAGAUUCUUAGAGAAAAAAAAGUUAUACAUUGGACUUGAAAGUCCUCUAAAUGAGAAAAUUGUGGGGGUUUUUCUGAUUUUUAUAUUAUAGUCUCUUAGAAAUUGGGCAAAUUAUAAACACCAUGGCCUGCUUAUCAGUAACUGAUAUUUGGGCGUACUAAAACUAGAUUCAGUUGCACAUUUUACAUGAAUUUGUCUGUGAACUAUUUUUCCUUGAAAGGUGACUAUCAGAAAAACAUAAACGCAAAUGUAUUAGUUUGGGGUUUUUUUUUUUUUUAGAAGAAUGCCACCUUACCACCACUUCCACUGCAAAAUUAAAAUUUUUAAUGCACUUUUCUAAACUCUGUUAGGUUAUAUUUAUAGUCUGUGACUGAUUACAGAGCCUUAUCAUUAUGCCCUUAAAUGUGGUUUAAUUCAUUAUCAUGAAGUGCCUAUCCAGGGGUAUUGUAACCUACAUAGGCUAGAGCACAUCAUCACAGGUAUAUUUUACACAGGAACUCUGUGAAUCUCUGGGGAAAUAGACCAGAGACCUUCAAAACCACUAAUUUAAGUCUAACUCAACAGAAUUAAAAUUUCUAAACAAAAUUUAGAAGGAAGGACAGCUCUGAGCUUUCAGAAAUGGCCUACAGAAACAGAAAACCACUUUGCUAUUUGAAGGAGGAAUUUGAGCUUUAUUCUUGUAGGUUGGUCUGUGGGCUGCCAGGAAAUAGUAUUUAUAUUGCCCUCUCACUCAGCCCCAGAGAAAGUGUUCACAACUUCCUUGAUCAUCAUAGAUUGCUUUUUGUUUAACAUAUAUGUAAGUCAUGUUAAGUAUCAGAUAAAACCCUCUUAUUUGUUUCCUCCUUUAUUCACUCCCUAAUCCCCAUCAAACCAGAACCAGUGAUCCUCCUUUAUGUCCAGGUCACUCUUUCUGCUCUGUUCACAUGGCUAAGUAACUAAGAGACAAAUCAUAGGUACUCAUUAAAAACUUGCUUAUUGAAUAAAUAAACCUUAAUGACUUUCUAGUUCAUCCCUCCCACCCAUCUCACACAUUGGGAAAUUGAGUUACAAAUGGUUAUUUAUCCAAGUCACACAAGAGAACAAACUAGCUCACAUGACUGGGAAAAGUCUGAGUUUGGAAUUUAGGUUGGUUGAUAGCAUUGGAGUUUGUUUUUCUUCAUUAUGUCAGCUGCAGUAAAUUUGCCAGUCCCUAAAGGAGGCAGAGUAAAAUAGCCCAUAGAACUGCUUUGUCACACACUAAAGACAGUAAUCAAGCAAAAGUAUUUAAAGAAACAGAUUAUCUUAAAUAUGAAUCUGUAUACAAACAACUGUUAGAAGCUUCUUGAAAUUAUGAAUCAUGCCCAGUAUUCCUUUCCAUUUUAUAAUUGGAUCAACUCCCCUGCUUUUUUUAAGUAAUAGUAAUAAUAAUGUUUGUUCCACUAGAAUGUGAGCUAAGAGACAUCAGAGACCCUGUGUGUGUGCUGACUUUGGUAUGCCCAGCACCCAGCAAAGGGCAACAUUAAGAAGCAGCAAUUCUCCUAAAACAGCUCUUGGAUUUUUCAACAGAUGGAAGUUUAUCUUAGAUCAAAACAAAGCUUCUGUUUCAGUGUAGUUCUGCCUAAAGGCAGGAGAAUAGACUAGAAGACUCCUUAAAGUCCCCUCCAUAUCCUCCAUAUAUUUUGUUGAGAAGUUUCACUAAAUAGAUGGACCCUAUAAUACCCAUAAAAGAAGAAAUCAUGUACUCAUCAACUUUCAUGCUUUGUAAAGUCAUUUUCACCUUUAUUAUUGAAAAGUUGGCACUCAGAAAUAUAGUAAACAAAUGUAAUACUUUAAAUUAUUGUUUCUC
This is a long non-coding RNA of Lutra lutra (Eurasian river otter), 1837 nucleotides long. RefSeq lists it as uncharacterized. Lineage: Eukaryota; Metazoa; Chordata; Mammalia; Carnivora; Mustelidae. The transcript has 2 exons. The record is from RefSeq and is a predicted model, not a curated record.